UACGUAGGGGCAAGCGUUGUCCGGAAUCAUUGGGCGUAAAGCGCGCGUAGGCGGCCAGAUAAGUCCGGUGUGAAAGUCACAGGCUCAACCUGUGAAUGCCGCUGGAAACUGUCUGGCUUGAGUCCGGAAGGGGCGAGUGGAAUUCCUGGUGUAGCGGUGAAAUGCGUAGAUAUCAAGAGGAACACCUGAGGUGAAGACGGGUUGCUGGGCUGACACUGACGUGAGGCGCGAAAGCCAGGGGAGCAAACGGGG
Molecule: ribosomal RNA, 252 nt
Filed under: uncultured bacterium
Lineage: Bacteria
Description: partial 16S ribosomal RNA
Rfam family: Bacterial small subunit ribosomal RNA
Source: RNAcentral